Molecule: ribosomal RNA, 793 nt
Filed under: Oceanicola sp. CR-44
Lineage: Bacteria; Pseudomonadati; Pseudomonadota; Alphaproteobacteria; Rhodobacterales; Roseobacteraceae
Description: bacterial SSU rRNA
Rfam family: Bacterial small subunit ribosomal RNA
Source: RNAcentral
UGCAAGUCGAGCGCUCUCUUCGGAGGGAGCGGCGGACGGGUGAGUAACGCGUGGGAACGUACCCAGAUCUGCGGAAUAGCCACUGGAAACGGUGAGUAAUACCGCAUACGCCCUUCGGGGGAAAGAUUUAUCGGAUUUGGAUCGGCCCGCGUUAGAUUAGGUAGUUGGUGGGGUAAUGGCCUACCAAGCCUACGAUCUAUAGCUGGUUUUAGAGGAUGAUCAGCCACACUGGGACUGAGACACGGCCCAGACUCCUACGGGAGGCAGCAGUGGGGAAUCUUAGACAAUGGGCGCAAGCCUGAUCUAGCCAUGCCGCGUGAGUGAUGAAGGCCUUAGGGUCGUAAAGCUCUUUCGCCUGUGAAGAUAAUGACGGUAGCAGGUAAAGAAGUCCCGGCUAACUCCGUGCCAGCAGCCGCGGUAAUACGGAGGGGACUAGCGUUGUUCGGAAUUACUGGGCGUAAAGCGCGCGUAGGCGGACUAGUCAGUCAGAGGUGAAAUCCCAGGGCUCAACCCUGGAACUGCCUUUGAUACUGCUAGUCUUGAGUUCGAGAGAGGUGAGUGGAAUUCCGAGUGUAGAGGUGAAAUUCGUAGAUAUUCGGAAGAACACCAGUGGCGAAGGCGGCUCACUGGCUCGAUACUGACGCUGAGGUGCGAAAGUGUGGGGAGCAAACAGGAUUAGAUACCCUGGUAGUCCACACCGUAAACGAUGAAUGCCAGACGUCGGGUAGCAUGCUAUUCGGUGUCACACCUAACGGAUUAAGCAUUCCGCCUGGGGAGUACGGUCGCAAGAUUA